Molecule: small nuclear RNA, 105 nt
Organism: Lemur catta (Ring-tailed lemur)
Lineage: Eukaryota; Metazoa; Chordata; Mammalia; Primates; Lemuridae
Source: RefSeq, a predicted model, not a curated record
GUACUCAUUCCAGCAGCACAUAAAUUGAAAUUGGAAUGAUACAGAGAUUAGCAUGUCCUCUGCAGAAGGAUGAUAUGCAAAAUUUAACAGGGAAGAAAGUACCCU